RNAcentral lists this non-coding RNA (100 nucleotides) under Cellvibrio japonicus. RNAcentral's name for it is "TPP sequence". It matches the Rfam family "TPP riboswitch aptamer (THI element)". From Rfam's summary of the family: Vitamin B(1) in its active form thiamin pyrophosphate (TPP) is an essential coenzyme that is synthesised by coupling of pyrimidine and thiazole moieties in bacteria. The previously detected thiamin-regulatory element, thi box was extended, resulting in a new, highly conserved RNA secondary structure, the THI element, which is widely distributed in eubacteria and also occurs in some archaea. Lineage: Bacteria; Pseudomonadati; Pseudomonadota; Gammaproteobacteria; Cellvibrionales; Cellvibrionaceae. The record is from RNAcentral. RNAcentral also lists the same sequence under 1 other name.
ACUUUCUUGUCGGGGUGCUCCGUAUCUGUUUGCGGGGCUGAGAAAUACCCGCCGACCUGAUCCGGUUAGUACCGGCGUAGGGAACGAGAGCUCUUCACUU